GAUGAGUGGACUGCUUUGGACAAAUGGACUUGGGGUAGGACAGAGGGACAACAGUGGGAGCAGGUAGAUCUUGCUGUUUCAACCAAAACCUCAUGCUGACCAGAGUUGAGGAACAGAAGAAGAUGGUGAAGGCCUGCAGUUAUAGGUGUUCAGUAUGUCAUCUGAAAUAUUCCCCACAGAGGCAAAAAAAAAAAAAAGGAAAUUAUCUCUGAAAAGGAACAGGAAGACAAGCAGAAAUGAAGAUGCUUGCUUUCCUAGAAACAAGCCCAGGUCAUCCAUCAUGAAGUCCAGGAAUUGUAAAUGUGAGGAAGUGCAAAGACACAACAUAACGCUUACAAAGGCAUAUGGGCAUUUGGAAUUCUUUAAAGGACAACAUCCUCGAGCUUCUCCUGGAGUUAAACUAGAAAAUCAGAGGAAAAGAUUAAAAAAUGGAGAUCAAGAGAAACAGGGAAAAACAAAGACCAGAAUAAACAAAAUAUCAAUUCAUCCCCUGGAUUAGUAAGCACAAGCCAUGCUUCUUGAUUCGAACUCAGGUGAAGGGUGAAAUGCAGCCACAUCUAUAUUUUCCAAUGCUUUAUCUGUCUUCCUUUUUGGUCUCUUUGCUUCUCUUAUUUUAUAGGCUCAAACACCUUCAUGUCUAUUAUCAACAAUAAAUGGGCCUGGUAUCAUUGGAAACAUGAAAAAUAGAACGUAAGAACUUUCAACCCCCCAAAUAAACUCUGGCUCCUCCAUUAUCUCUGAGAUUU
Symphalangus syndactylus (siamang) is the source of this 746-nucleotide long non-coding RNA. RefSeq lists it as uncharacterized. The record is from RefSeq and is a predicted model, not a curated record. Lineage: Eukaryota; Metazoa; Chordata; Mammalia; Primates; Hylobatidae.